UACGUAGGGGGCAAGCGUUGUCCGGAAUCAUUGGGCGUAAAGAGCGUGUAGGCGGCUUGGUAGGUCUGCUGUGAAAACUCGGGGCUCAACCCCGAGACGUCGGUGGAAACUUCCUGGCUAGAGUCCGGAAGAGGAGAGUGGAAUUCCUGGUGUAGCGGUGAAAUGCGCAGAUAUCAGGAAGAACACCCGUGGCGAAGGCGGCUCUCUGGGACGGUACUGACGCUGAGACGCGAAAGCGUGGGGAGCGAACAGG
RNAcentral lists this ribosomal RNA (253 nucleotides) under uncultured bacterium. RNAcentral describes it as "partial 16S ribosomal RNA". It matches the Rfam family "Bacterial small subunit ribosomal RNA", at positions 524 to 776 of the family's 1533-position model. The record is from RNAcentral.